AUGAAGUGUGGUUUAUUAAAUAUCAGAUCUCUCUCAUCUAAAUCCUUUUUAAUAAAUGACUUGAUAAGUGACCAUCACAUAGAUCUGUUCUGUCUCACUGAAACCUGGCUGCAGCAGGAUGAAUAUGUUACUUUAAAUGAGUCGACUCCAAUGAGUCACAUCAACUAUCAUGUUCCAAGAAGUACAGGUAGAGGUGGAGGAGUAGCAGCAGUUUAUAAAUCAGAUUUAUUAAUUACUCCUAAACCUAAACAUAGUUAUAACUCAUUUGAGAGCCUCACUCUGAGCCUUUCUCACCCAGACUCUAAAACUCAGAAACCAGUUGUGUUUUGUAUUGUUUACCGUCCUCCUGCUCCAUAUUCAGAGUUCUUAACUGAAUUCUCUGAAUUCUUAUCUGACUUAGUUCUUAGCACAGAUAAAGUCAUUGUAGUGGGAGACUUUAACAUUCAUGUAGAUGUUGACAGCAACUGUCUCAGCACUGCUUUUAACUCCUUAAUAGACACUAUUGGUUUUACACAGCAGGUAAAUGAACCCACUCAUCGUUUUAACCACACUCUAGAUCUUGUCCUGACAUAUGGAGUUGAAAUUGAUAAUUUAAUAGUUCUUCCCCAAAACCCUCUGUUAUCUGACCAUUUCUUAUUAACUUUUGAAUUUAGCACAACUGACCCUAUAACAGCUGGAAAGAAAUGUUACUAUAGCAGGUGUUUAUCUGACAAUGCUGUUGCCAGAUUCAAGCAGAUGAUUCCAUCAUCUUUUGCCUCAAUGUCUUGCAGAUACACAGAGAACAGUCACCUUAAUCCUUAUGAACAGGUUGACUGUCUUGUAGAUGAUGCUGCAGCUUCUCUACGUACAAUGUUAGACACAGUGGCUCCUCUGAAGAAGAAGACAGUGAAUCAGAGGAGGUUAGCUCCGUGGUAUAACUCAGACAUCCGCAGUCUAAAGCAAAGGACUAGACAACUAGAAAGACAGUGGCGUUCCAACAAAAUAAAUGUAAACUGCAUUGCAUGGAAGGACAGUCUAAUGAAAUAUAAAAAAGCACUUUGUGCUGCUAGAAAAACAUAUUAUUCCUCCCUAAUUGAGGAAAACAAAAACAACCCCAGGUUUUUUUUUCAGCACUGUAGCCAGGCUGACAAAGAGUCAUAG
RNAcentral lists this long non-coding RNA (1140 nucleotides) under Betta splendens (Siamese fighting fish). Its description in RNAcentral is "lncRNA (ENSBSLG00000012767.1)". The record is from RNAcentral. Lineage: Eukaryota; Metazoa; Chordata; Actinopteri; Anabantiformes; Osphronemidae.